RNAcentral lists this ribosomal RNA (460 nucleotides) under uncultured Methylomirabilota bacterium. RNAcentral describes it as "bacterial SSU rRNA". It matches the Rfam family "Bacterial small subunit ribosomal RNA", at positions 977 to 1434 of the family's 1533-position model. The record is from RNAcentral. Lineage: Bacteria; Methylomirabilota (SeqCode).
GGGCUUGACAUCCCACGAACCUGGGGGAAACCUCGGGGUGCCCGCAAGGGAGCGCGGAGACAGGUGGUGCAUGGCUGUCGUCAGCUCGUGUCGUGAGAUGUUGGAUUAAGUUCCGCAACGAGCGCAACCCUCGUCCUCUGUUGCCAUCACGUUAUGGUGGGCACUCUGAGGAGACUGCCGGUGACAAACCGGAGGAAGGUGGGGAUGACGUCAAGUCAGCAUGGCCUUUAUGUCUGGGGCCACACACGUGCUACAAUGGCCGGUACAAACCGUUGCGAUCCCGCGAGGGGGAGCUAAUCGGAGAAAGCCGGUCUCAGUUCGGAUCGCAGGCUGCAACUCGCCUGCGUGAAGUCGGAAUCGCUAGUAAUCGCGGAUCAGCACGCCGCGGUGAAUACGUUCCCGGGCCUUGUACACACCGCCCGUCACAUCACGAAAGCCGGCUGUACUCGAAGUCGCUGAG